RNAcentral lists this ribosomal RNA (253 nucleotides) under uncultured bacterium. RNAcentral's name for it is "partial 16S ribosomal RNA". It matches the Rfam family "Bacterial small subunit ribosomal RNA", at positions 524 to 776 of the family's 1533-position model. The record is from RNAcentral.
UACAGAGGUCUCGAGCGUUAGGCGGAAUCACUGGGCUUAAAGCGUGUGUAGGUGGAUCGGUAAGUACCUUGUGAAAUCCCACGGCUUAACCGUGGAACUGCUUGGUAUACUGCCAGUCUUGAGCCAGCUAGGGGCUACCGGAACAAAUGGUGGAGCGGUGAAAUGCGUAGAUAUUGGGAAGAACACCGGUGGCGAAGGCGGCUCACUGGCUCAUAUCUGACGCUCAGGCGCGACAGCGUGGGGAUCAAACAGG